Mesocricetus auratus (golden hamster) is the source of this 3646-nucleotide long non-coding RNA. RefSeq lists it as uncharacterized. The transcript is spliced from 5 exons. The record is from RefSeq and is a predicted model, not a curated record. NCBI's taxonomy places the organism in Eukaryota, Metazoa, Chordata, Mammalia, Rodentia, Cricetidae.
CAGCGGAAAAACGUCGAGCCGUAAAGCGAAGGCCCAACCGGAAGUCUGUCACGGCUCCCGGCUUGACGUCCUCAUUAGCCGGCGGCCCAGAACUGAAACGUGGCGGCGCGCAGUGCGAGGGACGCUGGGGCGGGGAGCACGAGUCGGCCCCGCGGUGUCCCACAAUGCUUGGCGGCUGCCGCGGCCCCUUUGCCUCCCACAAUGCCCCGGGCUCCCGCUGCCCCUCCCCGUCCGGUUCUCGGUCGGGUCGAGCCUUCCCUGGAGGUGGCCGCGCUCCUCUCCUGUGCCGGUUACCAGCGGGGUGAGGGGUGCCGCCAGGUGACCUGCGCGGUCCGGGCUGCUAGGACUUUGGGAUGGCCGCCAGGGCUCAAACCCUGGUCGCACAGAUCUUAAGCCUCAGUAGUCAACGGAGGUUCCUGGUUGCUCAUUGAAAGUAAAAUAAAAUAGGUCCGGCGGCGGUGUCGCACGCAUUUUAUCGCAGCUCUCACGAGGCAGAGGCUGGCCUGGUCCGCAGAGCGAGAUCCAGGACAGCCAGGGCUACACGGAGAAACCCUGUCUCUAUAAACAAAAAAAUCCUUUCGUUUUCCCACCAUUCAUGAUUAGCCUGUCCGUAUUCUAAUUUGAGCCGCACCUUGGGUUCCGUCUCCCGUCAGAGCUUCAUCUAUUCGUACUCCUGGUGGGUUGCUCCUCAGCAUGGGCAAACGUCUUCCCACACAGCUAGCACCUUCCUAGGGAAGCAUAACAUAGACACAUGGAGCUUUAGGUGCAGAGUGGUGCUUAAUAAGGGUUUGCCGACCAAGCAAAGGAAUGAAAGACCUGGAGUCUGUAGAAGAGGAGGCAUUCUUCCCACAUCGCUGAGAGCUUCCCCUCACCUCAGGGUCCUUCUCGUUUUACGGGUUCAAGAAAUUAGAGUUCGGUUUUGGAAUAGCAGAAUGACAGACUUCUGAGGCUCCAUGGUGGAGAGUGGGAGGUACAUUUUCCAGCUCUGAAGUUGCCGGUACCUACAGGAGUGAUCUGAUCACUCGAAGCUGCCAUGUUAUGGGGAAGCCCAGGCUCCCCACAUGGACUCACCACAUAAGCAGACCUGAGAGCAUCAAUUUCUUGAACUUUCUGCGUUGAAGGAGACUGAGACACAGCACUGCAGAGGAUGCCCCUGAGGAACCCUGUAUUUCAUGAGAGGCAUUUGUCGAUCAACUACUGUAUUCUGGGUGCUGUACUGAAUGAGACAAGCUGCCUCCUGCCCUGCUGAUGAAGUGCUCUGCGCUCACUGUGCUGGUCCAGGAUCCCAGGUGAUGUUAACUGGGAUGCUGUCAUGGAGGGAGAGAGGAGAGGCACCCGGGAGCAGAGGCAGAGGCGGGAACACUGCUGGGACUCUGUGAGCAGAGCAAACCCUUCAUCGAGCAGCCUGAGAGCCUUCGGCAUGGCUGCCCCAGACCUCAAGGACCCUCAUCUCCUCUCUGGGAAAUCCCUUUUGAUAACUAACAAUGUCUGUGUUGGUUUCUGGGGAUGCUUGAGAAAUUUCCUUGGGGCUUCAAAAAUGCUUUCUCUUGAUAAUAUGUCUCAGGGGGAUUUAAGAUCACAGCGGUGACACCACAGUUUAACUUUAAUUUGACUUGGGAAGGGAAGGAAAAAUUCUAUCCCUUUUUUUGUCUCUCUGGUACAAGUGCACUGUCACUGCCUGCUGGUUUUGUAAUUAUUUGAGAAACGUUUCCUGGAUUCCUGUUCUGUGCCAUGUCCAGUGUUGGAAGAGGCCGUUCCUUCUCUGCAGAACUGGGGACAAGGACAUCAUCUCUCCUCUCAGCAUGAUAAACGGGGUGGCUUCCUGGAGGAGGCAAGGCUUCAGGGUCUGGGGGGACGAGUAGGCCAGUCAAGAGGGAGCAGCGGUUUCCUACCCUCUGUGUAACCGGGUUCCGAAUACACCUGACCUUUGAGUCUCAGAAGGGAUAAUUUGAGGGAGCCUUGGGCUGGGGGAUUACAACACCAGGGCACUCACGGAGGAAGUACUCUGCGGUGUCUGCUUCGUAGUCUGCAUCCUCUGGAAAGUGGUCGAUUUGCUUGCACAGGCCUUUGAAGUUCCCUGCAAGGUAAGGCAGAAGGAGCCAGUGAGUGCCUGGUUUGCACGACUCAGGACCCAGCUGCCCUGUCUGGACACCACGGUCUCCCGAGGGUCACUUGCUGGCACAUUUGUCUGGUCAACCCAUGCGCACUCUGUGGGCCUGAGCACAGAGCUGAGGCUCAGACAUCAAAACCCGCCUUCUGUCCCCACCUCCUGUCCCCUGUCCUCACUGCCUUCUGAGGAUUAGCUAGAGCCAGGGUUUGAUUCUGGGUGGAGAACUGUGCUGAGAGGGGUGGGGGAUGGGCUCAACAGCCCAGCAGGGUGAUGGGGGUGCUGCUGCAUGGCAGAGAGUCACCCAGUUCUUUGCAAGCUGCAGAGUCUUUCCCAAGAAGACCCACCCCAGACUGAUGCAACAACAGACAAGUCCUUAGAAGAGGCCACAAGAUGGAUCCCAUCCGCACUGGCAGGAUAUUCCCCUUCCCAGCCCCACAGCCCCAGCAGUUCUGAGCUUGCAGGGCUGGCCUGAUAUGGGAUGCCCAUAGGUAUGCUGCAAAUAUGUGUUGUUUUCAUUGGUUGAUGAACAAAGCUGUUUUGACCAAUGGCCAGGCAAAAUGUAGCUAGGUGGGAAAUCCAGACAGAAUUACGGAGAGAAAAAAGGUGGAGUCAGGGAGACGCCAUGUAGCCACUGAAGAAGUAUCAUGCUGGAGUAUUAUCCGUAAGCCACAGCCUCAUGGCAGUACACAGAGUAGUACAAUGGGUUAAUUUAUAAGACAGAGCUGUCCAGUAAUAUGUCUGAGUCACUGGCCCAACAACUGUAAUUGAUAUUAAGCCUCGGAGUGUUAUUUUGUAAGCGGCAGAGGGAACUGGCGGGAGGGACAGGAAACUUCCAAGUGCACUGACACUCUACCACGCUCAUUUAUGGACUCUGUGUAGGUUAGACCGGCUCUACAGUCAUCAUGACCCUCCUGGCUUAGCCUUCCAAAUGCUGGGCCACAGGCCUGAGCCACCACGCUAGCUUUGAGAUUGUGAACUACAGCUCACUAGCGGCCGGAGGCCCAUGUGAGCCACCGGUGUUGUCACCCCUUUCACAGGCAGGGAAACUGAAGCUGAAGUACCUCAGUACUCAAACAGCUGGCUGGAGCGGAGUGCACCAUGGACUCGGACUUUGGCCUUUGUCUCCAGACUUUUGCUUGGUGGGAACAGCACAGGACCCCCGUAGACUGUCAGAGUGUUCACCCAGAGAGAGAGUGUGAGUCGUGGGAGGGAGGGGCCUCCAGACAGACUGACAGGUAGGAUUCAGUGUGCCGUCAGCAGAGUGUCAGCUUUGUGCAAUUCCCUACACUGUGUCCCCAGCAGCAGUGGAGACAAGGCUGGUAGCAGUCCCUGCAGGAAGGGUGGCCCAGACUCAGCCUACCUGGUGCAGCUCAGCUUUCUUCCCUUGACUCAGUUUCUGUGUCCUGAGUAGUUGGUGGAGUAUUUAGGUUGGUGACUGAUGUGGGAGCAAUGAUCUGGAACCACUGCCUUUCUGUGACAAUUGCUAGAAUCACCCAAUAAAUAUAGUCCCCAGCCACUCAGCAAUUUAAAACUUUA